GUGGCAAGAUGGUAAACAUGCAGUCGAACGAACCUUAUGGUUAGUGGCGGCGGGUGAGUAACGCGUGAGAAUCUGCCCUCAGGAGGGGGAUAACGGUUGGAAACGACCGCUAAUACCCCAUAUGCCUACUGGUGAAAUGAAUUUCGCCUGAGGAUGAGCUCGCGUCUGAUUAGCUAGUUGGUGAGGUAAUGGCUCACCAAGGCUUCGAUCAGUAGCUGGUCUGAGAGGAUGAUCAGCCACACUGGGACUGAGACACGGCCCAGACUCCUACGGGAGGCAGCAGUGGGGAAUUUUCCGCAAUGGGCGAAAGCCUGACGGAGCAACGCCGCGUGAGGGACGAAGGCCUCUGGGCUGUAAACCUCUUUUCUCAAGGAAGAAGAUAUGACGGUACUUGAGGAAUAAGCCACGGCUAAUUCCGUGCCAGCAGCCGCGGUAAUACGGGAGUGGCAAGCGUUAUCCGGAAUUAUUGGGCGUAAAGCGUCCGCAGGCGGCUUUUCAAGUCUGCUGUUAAAGCGUGGAGCUUAACUCCAUCAUGGCAGUGGAAACUGAAAGGCUUGAGUAUGGUAGGGGCAGAGGGAAUUCCCGGUGUAGCGGUGAAAUGCGUAGAUAUCGGGAAGAACACCAGUGGCGAAGGCGCUCUGCUGGGCCAUUACUGACGCUCAUGGACGAAAGCCAGGGGAGCGAAAGGGAUUAGAUACCCCUGUAGUCCUGGCCGUAAACGAUGAACACUAGGUGUCGGGGGAAUCGACCCUUCGGUGUCGUAGCUAACGCGUUAAGUGUUCGCCUGGGGAGUACGCACGCAAGUGUG
Molecule: ribosomal RNA, 808 nt
Filed under: uncultured bacterium
Lineage: Bacteria
Description: bacterial SSU rRNA
Rfam family: Bacterial small subunit ribosomal RNA
Source: RNAcentral